Molecule: microRNA, 22 nt
Filed under: Chrysemys picta bellii (western painted turtle)
Lineage: Eukaryota; Metazoa; Chordata; Testudines; Emydidae
Also listed under: 8 other names
Description: Cpi-Mir-10-P2d_3p* (star (passenger))
Source: RNAcentral
CAAGCUUGUAUCUAUAGGUAUG